UUGGCGGACGGGUGAGAAAUGCAUCGGAACGUGCCCAUGUCGUGGGGGAUAACGUAGCGAAAGCUACGCUAAUACCGCAUACGCCCUGAGGGGGAAAGCGGGGGAUUCUUCGGAACCUCGUGCGAUUGGAGCGGCCGAUGUCGGAUUAGCUAGUUGGUGGGGUAAAGGCCCACCAAGGCGACGAUCCGUAGCGGGUCUGAGAGGAUGAUCCGCCACACUGGGACUGAGACACGGCCCAGACUCCUACGGGAGGCAGCAGUGGGGAAUUUUGGACAAUGGGGGCAACCCUGAUCCAGCCAUGCCGCGUGAGUGGAGAAGGCCUUCGGGUUGUAAAGCUCUUUCGGCCGGGAAGAAAUCGUGGUCUCUAACAUAGGCCAUGGAUGACGGUACCGGACUAAGAAGCACCGGCUAACUACGUGCCAGCAGCCGCGGUAAU
This 436-nucleotide ribosomal RNA is filed under the name uncultured Thauera sp. RNAcentral describes it as "bacterial SSU rRNA". It matches the Rfam family "Bacterial small subunit ribosomal RNA", at positions 95 to 524 of the family's 1533-position model. The record is from RNAcentral. Lineage: Bacteria; Pseudomonadati; Pseudomonadota; Betaproteobacteria; Rhodocyclales; Zoogloeaceae.